Molecule: ribosomal RNA, 1016 nt
Filed under: bacterium enrichment culture clone XK-1
Lineage: Bacteria
Description: bacterial SSU rRNA
Rfam family: Bacterial small subunit ribosomal RNA
Source: RNAcentral
UGCAGUCGAGCGGUAGCACAGAGAGCUUGCUCUCGGGUGACGAGCGGCGGACGGGUGAGUAAUGUCUGGGAAACUGCCUGAUGGAGGGGGAUAACUACUGGAAACGGUAGCUAAUACCGCAUAAUGUCCCAAGACCAAAGUGGGGGACCUUCGGGCCUCAUGCCAUCAGAUGUGCCCAGAUGGGAUUAGCUAGUAGGUGGGGUAACGGCUCACCUAGGCGACGAUCCCUAGCUGGUCUGAGAGGAUGACCACCCACACUGGAACUGAGACACGGUCCAGACUCCUACGGGAGGCAGCAGUGGGGAAUAUUGCACAGUGGGCGCAAGCCUGAUGCAGCCAUGCCGCGUGUGUGAAGAAGGCCUUCGGGUUGUAAAGCACUUUCAGCGGGGAGGAAGGCGAUGAGGUUAAUAACCUUGUCGAUUGACGUUACCCGCAAAAGAAGCACCGGCUAACUCCGUGCCAGCACCCGCGGUAAUACGGAGGGUGCAAGCGUUAAUCGGAAUUACUGGGCGUAAAGCGCACGCAGGCGGUCUGUCAAGUCAGAUGUGAAAUCCCCGGGCUCAACCUGGGAACUGCAUUCGAAACUGGCAGGCUAGAGUCUUGUAGAGGGGGGUAGAAUUCCAGGUGUAGCGGUGAAAUGCGUAGAGAUCUGGAGGAAUACCGGUGGCGAACGCGGCCCCCUGGACAAAGACUGACGCUCACGUGCGAAAGCGUGGGGAGCAAACAGAGAUUAUAUACCCUGGUAGUCCACGCCGUACACGAUGUCGAUUUGGAGGUUGUGCCCUUGAGGCGUGGCUUCCGGAGCUAACGCGUUAAAUCGACCGCCUGGGGAGUACGGCCGCAAGGUUAAAACUCAGAUGAAUUGACGGCGGCCCGCACAGCGGUGGAGCAUGUGUUUUUAUUCGAUGCACGCGAAGAACCUUACCUGGUCUUGACAUCCACAGAACUUUCAGAUAUAGAUUGCUGCCUUCAGGAACUGUGAGACAGGUGCUGCAUGGCUGUCGUCAGCUCGUGUU